UGGGGAAUAUUGGACAAUGGGCGCAAGCCUGAUCCAGCCAUGCCGCGUGAGUGAUGAAGGCCCUAGGGUUGUAAAGCUCUUUCACCGGUGAAGAUAAUGACGGUAACCGGAGAAGAAGCCCCGGCUAACUUCGUGCCAGCAGCCGCGGUAAUACGAAGGGGGCUAGCGUUGUUCGGAUUUACUGGGCGUAAAGCGCACGUAGGCGGACUUUUAAGUCAGGGGUGAAAUCCCGGGGCUCAACCCCGGAACUGCCUUUGAUACUGGAAGUCUUGAGUAUGGUACAGGUUAGUGGAAUUCCGAGGGUAGAGUUGAAAUUCGUAGAUAUUCGGAGGAACACCAGUGGCGAAGGCGGCUCACUGGACCAUUACUGACGCUGAGGUGCGAAAGCGUGGGGAGCAAACAGG
RNAcentral lists this ribosomal RNA (404 nucleotides) under Actinomycetes bacterium. Its description in RNAcentral is "Actinobacteria bacterium partial 16S ribosomal RNA". It matches the Rfam family "Bacterial small subunit ribosomal RNA", at positions 355 to 776 of the family's 1533-position model. Lineage: Bacteria; Bacillati; Actinomycetota; Actinomycetes. The record is from RNAcentral.